Molecule: RNA transcript, 2585 nt
Organism: Sander lucioperca (pikeperch)
Lineage: Eukaryota; Metazoa; Chordata; Actinopteri; Perciformes; Percidae
Gene: lrrc56
Gene name: leucine rich repeat containing 56
Exons: 14
Source: RefSeq, a predicted model, not a curated record
UCUUUCCGUGCCGUAUCCAGGAAGUCGUAUGUGGUUGUCAAGCAAACUUUUGCUUGUAAGCAAAGUGCUCUCAGUCUGUGAAAUGUAUAACAUUAUAUCUUUUUAGCCUGCAGUUUCCUGCAACAGGUAGCCGUGAGAGAUGAGUUGCUGUCAAGGGUCUGUGCCCCAGGAGGUCCGGCCCGGCACAGCACGGGUCCUAGUGACUGAGCUGAGUGGAUCAGGCCACAUCAACCCAACUCCUGCCACGAAACCCUGCGAGGACUCUGAAACAGCUGUGGAGCUUUACUUCUCUCCAGAGAAGCUGGAAUUGCUGUGUGGAACUCGGGACCUCUCUCACGUGACCUCGCUGGAGAUCUGCGUAGACACACAAGAAAAUACACUGGCUAACUUUGGUGCUUACUUGCCCAAGCUGGUGCAGCUCAAAAUGAACAACAGCACAAUUAUGUCAGUAAGAGACCUGGGAACCACCCUCUCCCACCUGCAGGUGCUGUGGAUGUCUCACUGCUCUCUCCAAGACCUAGAUGGCAUUUCUACUUUCUCCUCCCUCAAGGAAUUGUAUGUGGCCUAUAACAAAGUGUCCGACCUGAGUCAGGUUGGCAUGCUAAUGAACCUGCAGCUGUUAGAUCUGGAAGGGAAUGAUGUGGACGACCUAGUCCAGAUUCAGUAUCUUGGGUUGUGUGGCAAACUCCAGACACUCACCCUGGAGGGAAACCCUGUGUGUGUGCACCCAAACCCCACUGCCAUCCAGACAGCAGACUAUAGUUAUCGGGCUGCAGUGAGGGAGUUGGUUCCCCAGCUGCGUUACCUAGAUGAUUUAAGGGUGGAGGAAGACGGGCUGAGCUGUAUCAGCACCAUAGGAGAGGACUGGGCCAUUCUUCGAAACUCCAUCAGAGACGGCAACUCCUCUCAGGCAGCUACUAAAGACGAGGAAACGGCAGACAGCCCAUGUCCUCACAGCAGACCCGGCUCAGCAAGGCGCCCUGCUUCCAGCCACUCUUGCGUCUGGCCCCUCUCGUCAGCAGGCUCCAGACCCCACACUGGCUCCAGACCCAUGUCAGCGACCGGGCCUGGAGUUCUUUCCCCUCCUGGAUCCAGACCUGGAUCUGCAGACUCAGAUCUAGCAACAGUGGAAGCAGAAACCAGCAUCCUGACGCAUGGAGCUGGCAAGAUCCUGUUCUGUGGAAACCCAGUCCAGGCUAUUCGAGCAAGAAGAGAAAAGUUGAGGACUGCACCCACCAGGUCUACUUUCACCCCCCGGGACCUGCCCAUCCAUGUACCGGAACACACGUACGACUUUGAGGAGCAUGAUGUCAGAGAACGCGUUGAUGUGUUUGCAGAGCUUAGAGCUUGGAGGGAGCAGCACAGCAGCCGUCUCCAGGCCAUAGAGACAGAAAGAUUACCACAGGUCCUGGCUAUCCAGCAUAGUGAUGAAGGGGAAGAUGACGAUGAAGAAGAAGUCUUUGGUGGUGUAAGGAAUGACAGCAGUGAUGAAGAACACAGAGCGGAGAAGCAUGGUGAAAGCCUUGACUCCCCAGAUUCCUCUUUCCAGUCUGUUUCCCCAGACCUGCAUCACGGAGAAGCCUUAUCCCCUGAGGUGUCUCGACUCUCCCUGUCCCCAGACACCAGACUGUGCCCUUCUCCCCCUCUCAGUGCCACACUAACAGCUAAUCGCAAGCCACCAGGGAUCCGCGCACGUAGGCUUCGACACAGCCAGACCAACUCCGAACAUUCACCUGAUCUCAGCAGAGUAGGACGCUCCCCUGGGACAGGUACAACCGCAGGAGACACGGACCUGACACUCCAGAGGGUCCAGCAGUGGACCAGGACUGAUGUGCCUCUGUUACCCCUGCCUGCACACAUACCCCACCCCCCUCCAACAAGUGCCCUGGGUAAAGAGCUCAUGGUUUCAAGAGAUGGACUUAUCCAGUAUACAGUCUGGCAGCAAGCAUCUUCUAACGCCUCAGAUGUCCAAAGUCCUGGACAGACCAGCAAUUACUCGUCCUCACACAGCCAGAGCAGCUCUACAGAAACAUCACCAGCACCACAUACACCAACCCUGCAGAGGGAGCUCACAGCCAGACUGACCACAGAAUGGGCAGAUGUUUGGAUGCCUGGUCAGUGAUCAGUAUGAUUAGUGUGACUGUUCUAUACCCUUAAGAACAAAGCGGUAGCAUGGAAGCCAUUACGGGGCAUUAUCUUGCUCACUCACUCCAUGCUUUGAGGUGUGUUGGAAUUACCUGUAUUUUUGCCAUAUGAUGAAAAGAACAAAAAGAAAAAGACCCGGAAUAUAUUGAAAGCAUUCCCAGAUGAGUUGGGACUCACACCAACAACAACAUUCAGUGAACUCAUGAGUAAUUGAGUAAUUAAAACGAGUGUAUGAGUGUUAACAACCGUGUAUCUUGGAGCACUGAGAUUAUCCUUCUAAUGCUACUGAAUUGCUGGUUUUCUGAUGGCUGUGUUGGAUGAAUAAUAAAAGGGAAUGUAACUAAAACCUCACUUUUGCAUUUCUCAGGUUGAAACUUUGAAUUGUUCUAACUCAAAUGCUACCUUGUGUUUUACCCAAUUAAAACAAAAACUUCAAUCGA